GACGUAGGGGGCCAGCGUUGUUCGGAAUUACUGGGUGUAAAGGGUCAGUAGGCGGUGUGGCAAGUUGGGAGUGAAAUCUAUGGGCUCAACCCAUAGGCUGCUUCCAAAACUGCUGUGCUUGAGUGUGGGAGAGGCGCGUGGAAUUGCAGGUGUAGCGGUGAAAUGCGUAGAUAUCGGGAGGAACACCUGAGGCGAAGGCGGGCUACUGGGCCGAUACUGACGCUGAUGCGCGAAAGCCAGGGGAGCGAACGGG
This 253-nucleotide ribosomal RNA is filed under the name uncultured prokaryote. RNAcentral's name for it is "partial 16S ribosomal RNA". It matches the Rfam family "Bacterial small subunit ribosomal RNA", at positions 524 to 776 of the family's 1533-position model. The record is from RNAcentral.